Molecule: ribosomal RNA, 393 nt
Filed under: Sesarma curacaoense
Lineage: Eukaryota; Metazoa; Arthropoda; Malacostraca; Decapoda; Sesarmidae
Description: partial 16S ribosomal RNA
Source: RNAcentral
UAAAAAGUCUAGCCUGCCCACUGAUAAAUAAUUUUAAUGGCCGCGGUAUUUCUGACUGUGCAAAGGUAGCAUAAUAGUUAGUUUCUUAAUUGGAAUCUUGUAUGAAUGGUUUGACAAGAAAAAAUCUGUCUCACAACUAUUUAUUGAAUUUAACUUUUAAGUGAAAAGGCUUAAAUAAAUUAAAAAGACGAUAAGACCCUAUAAAGCUUAAUAUUAUUUUAUUAUUUAAUAGAAUUUUUAAAUAUAAGUAUUUGGUAAUAAUUUAUAUUUUAUUGGGGUGAUAAUAAUAAAAUGAUUAUUAACUGUUAAUUGAUUAAAACAAAAAUAAAUGAAUAUAAAAUGAUUUAGUAAAUGAUCCUAUAUUAAAGAUUAAAAGUUUAAGUUACUUUAGGG